RNAcentral lists this ribosomal RNA (301 nucleotides) under uncultured bacterium. RNAcentral describes it as "partial 16S ribosomal RNA". It matches the Rfam family "Bacterial small subunit ribosomal RNA", at positions 509 to 807 of the family's 1533-position model. The record is from RNAcentral.
CAGCAGCCGCGGUAAUACGGAGGGAGCUAGCGUUGUUCGGAAUUACUGGGCGUAAAGCGCGCGUAGGCGGUUACUCAAGUCAGAGGUGAAAGCCCGGGGCUCAACCCCGGAACUGCCUUUGAAACUAGGUAACCGGAAUCUUGGAGAGGUCAGUGGAAUUCCGAGUGUAGAGGUGAAAUUCGUAGAUAUUCGGAAGAACACCAGUGGCGAAGGCGACUGACUGGACAAGUAUUGACGCUGAGGUGCGAAAGCGUGGGGAGCAUACAGGAUUAGAUACCCGGGUAGUCCUUGUCUCUUAUAC